Molecule: ribosomal RNA, 445 nt
Filed under: Synechococcus sp. NTBN_2
Lineage: Bacteria; Bacillati; Cyanobacteriota; Cyanophyceae; Synechococcales; Synechococcaceae
Description: bacterial SSU rRNA
Rfam family: Bacterial small subunit ribosomal RNA
Source: RNAcentral
UAAUACCCCAUAUGUCUACGGAUGAAAGGUUAAUUCCGCCUGAGGAUGAGCUCGCGUCUGAUUAACUAGUUGGUGGGGUAAGGGCCUACCAAGGCGACGAUCAGUAGCUGGUCUGAGAGGAUGAUCAACCACACUGGGACUGAGACACGGCCCAGACUCCUACGGGAGGCAGCAGUGGGGAAUUUUCCGCAAUGGGCGAAAGCCUGACGGAGCAACGCCGCGUGCGGGAGGAAGGCCUUUGGGUUGUAAACCGCUUUUCUCAGGGAAGAAGGAAGUGACGGUACCUGAGGAAUAAGCAUCGGCUAACUCCGUGCCAGCAGCCGCGGUAAUACGGAGGAUGCAAGCGUUAUCCGGAAUUAUUGGGCGUAAAGCGUCCGCAGGCGGUUUAUCAAGUCUGCUGUCAAAGGCUGCAGCUCAACUGCGGAUCGGCAGUGGAAACUGAUGA